This 478-nucleotide ribosomal RNA is filed under the name uncultured bacterium. RNAcentral's name for it is "partial 16S ribosomal RNA". It matches the Rfam family "Bacterial small subunit ribosomal RNA", at positions 28 to 523 of the family's 1533-position model. The record is from RNAcentral.
GACGAACGCUGGCGGCGUGCUUAACACAUGCAAGUCGAACGGAAAGGCCCUUCGGGGUACUCGAGUGGCGAACGGGUGAGUAACACGUGGGUGAUCUGCCCUGCACUUUGGGAUAAGCCUGGGAAACUGGGUCUAAUACCGAAUAUGAUCAUGCUCUUCAUGGGGUGUGGUGGAAAGCUUUUGCGGUGUGGGAUGGGCCCGCGGCCUAUCAGCUUGUUGGUGGGGUAAUGGCCUACCAAGGCGACGACGGGUAGCCGGCCUGAGAGGGUGACCGUGCACACUGGGACUGAGAUACGGCCCAGACUCCUACGGGAGGCAGCAGUGGGGAAUAUUGCACAAUGGGCGCAAGCCUGAUGCAGCGACGCCGCGUGAGGGAUGACGGCCUUCGGGUUGUAAACCUCUUUCAGCACAGACGAAGCGCGAGUGACGGUAUGUGCAGAAGAAGGACCGGCCAACUACGUGCCAGCCGCCGCCGUAA